CAGACACCCAGAGCAAUAACACGGGCUGGCCACGCAGAUCUUUUAUGGAGGCCUCUGUAGAGAGAUGAUUAACCCUACCUGCUGGCAGCAUCAGAAACAACCGGAAGGCCAGGGACUGAAGUAGGUCAGAGGGAAGGAAACCCUCAAACCAGCUUUCUUCCUGGCAAUGCAGGGCAGGGGUUAAGGGCGGGGGCUCCUAAGUCAUCGCCUUUGCGUGCUGGUCCUCGGUCCGCCACCCAUCGGCUGUGAACCUGGGCGUGUCGUCUGACUGCUGACCUGCGUGGAAUUUAAGCUCGAUGAAAGCAAGGACUUCUGUCUGUUCUGUUUGCCCCUGCAUUCUGGUGCCUAAAACAACGCCUGACACAGGGAUUUCUCUGGGGACUGUGUGGCAGAUAGCAAAGGUGGACAAGGAUGGAAGCUGGGAGACUCCUUGUGAAGACCUGAUGACAACUCUGGGAAAGGGUGGAUGAAGAUGGAAAGUGUCUGGAGAGAGCGUGAUAACCACCUUCAUUCAACAAAAUUUAUUAAGUCUCGGGGGGAGGGUGUAGCUCAAGUGGUAGAGUGCGUGCUUAGCGUGCAGGAGGUCCUGGGCUCAACCCCCAGUACGUCCUCUAAAAAUAAAUAAAUAAAUAAAUAAAUAAAUAAAUAAAUAAAUAAAUAAAUAAAUAAACAAACAAACAAACAAACAAACAA
Camelus dromedarius (Arabian camel) is the source of this 693-nucleotide long non-coding RNA. RefSeq lists it as uncharacterized. The record is from RefSeq and is a predicted model, not a curated record. The transcript has 4 exons. NCBI's taxonomy places the organism in Eukaryota, Metazoa, Chordata, Mammalia, Artiodactyla, Camelidae.